RNAcentral lists this ribosomal RNA (434 nucleotides) under uncultured Pseudobutyrivibrio sp. RNAcentral describes it as "partial 16S ribosomal RNA". It matches the Rfam family "Bacterial small subunit ribosomal RNA", at positions 341 to 792 of the family's 1533-position model. The record is from RNAcentral. Lineage: Bacteria; Bacillati; Bacillota; Clostridia; Lachnospirales; Lachnospiraceae.
ACGGAAGGCAGCAGUGGGGAAUAUUGCACAAUGGGCGAAAGCCUGAUGCAGCGACGCCGCGUGAGCGAAGAAGUAUUUCGGUAUGUAAAGCUCUAUCAGCAGGGAAGAUAAUGACGGUACCUGACUAAGAAGCACCGGCUAAAUACGUGCCAGCAGCCGCGGUAAUACGUACGGUGCAAGCGUUAUCCGGAUUUACUGGGUGUAAAGGGAGCGUAGGCGGAAUUUUAAGUCUGAUGUGAAAGCCCAGGGCUCAACCCUGGUACUGCAUUGGAAACUGGAGUUCUAGAGUGUCGGAGGGGUAAGUGGAAUUCCUAGUGUAGCGGUGAAAUGCGUAGAUAUUAGGAGGAACACCAGUGGCGAAGGCGGCUUACUGGACGAUUACUGACGCUGAGGCUCGAAAGCGUGGGGAGCAAACAGGAUUAGAUACCCUGGUA